AUAUAAACAAAAUAACAGACACAUGAGGAGAGAGAUAAGAUAUAUGUC
RNAcentral lists this non-coding RNA (48 nucleotides) under Trypanosoma lewisi. Lineage: Eukaryota; Euglenozoa; Kinetoplastea; Trypanosomatida; Trypanosomatidae. The record is from RNAcentral.